GACGAACGCUGGCGGCGUGCCUAAUACAUGCAAGUCGAGCGGACCAAACAGGAGCUUGCUCUUGUUUGGUUAGCGGCGGACGGGUGAGUAACACGUGGGUAACCUGCCCGUAAGACCGGGAUAACUCCGGGAAACCGGAGCUAAUACCGGAUAACACCGAAGACCGCAUGGUCUUUGGUUGAAAGGCGGCUUCGGCUGCCACUUACGGAUGGGCCCGCGGCGCAUUAGCUAGUUGGUGAGGUAACGGCUCACCAAGGCGACGAUGCGUAGCCGGCCUGAGAGGGUGACCGGCCACACUGGGACUGAGACACGGCCCAGACGCCUACGGGAGGCAGCAGUAGGGAAUCUUCCGCAAUGGACGAAAGUCUGACGGAGCGACGCCGCGUGAGCGAAGAAGGUCUUCGGAUCGUAAAGCUCUGUUGUUAGGGAAGAAGAAGCGCCGUUCGAACAGGGCGGCGCGGUGACGGUACCUAACGAGAAAGCCCCGGCUAACUACGUG
RNAcentral lists this ribosomal RNA (499 nucleotides) under uncultured bacterium. RNAcentral's name for it is "partial 16S ribosomal RNA". It matches the Rfam family "Bacterial small subunit ribosomal RNA", at positions 28 to 507 of the family's 1533-position model. The record is from RNAcentral.